GGUGGCUCAGUGGUAGAGUGCAUGCCUUGUAGGCAUAAGACCUUGGGUUCAACCCCCCAGCACCA
This 65-nucleotide transfer RNA is filed under the name Erinaceus europaeus (western European hedgehog). It matches the Rfam family "tRNA". Rfam says of the family: Transfer RNA (tRNA) molecules are approximately 80 nucleotides in length. Their secondary structure includes four short double-helical elements and three loops (D, anti-codon, and T loops). Lineage: Eukaryota; Metazoa; Chordata; Mammalia; Eulipotyphla; Erinaceidae. The record is from Rfam by way of RNAcentral.